UUGAAUAAAAUUCUAAAUAGAAUAAUGAUAAUGACAAUUUUCUAUUUAUGUGUCUUGACCAAAUCACGUGCCAGCAGUCGCGGUAAGACGUGGAAGACUAGUGUUAUUCAUCUUUAAUAGGUUUAAAGGGUACCUAGACGGUAUUUUUAGCUCAAUAAGAGUACGAAACUACUAGAGUUUUAUGUGAGAAGGGGAGAACUUUUGGAGUAGAGAUGCAAUUCUUUGAUACCAUAAGGACUGGCAAAGGCGAAGGCGACCUUCUAUGUAAAAACUGACGUUGAGGGACGAAGGCUUGGGUAGCGAGAAGGAUUAGAUACCCUAGUAGUCCAAGCAGAAAAUUAUGAAUGUCAUAUAUAAAUGAAAGUGUAAGCAUUCCACCUCGAGAGUAAUGUGGCAACGCAGAAACCGAAAUCAUUAGACCGUUUCUGAAACCAGUAGUGAAGUAUGUUAUUUAAUUCGAUGAUCCCCGAAAAACCUUACCACGCAAGUGUUGCACGGCUGUCUUCAGUUAAUGUCGUGAGAUUUUGGUUAGUUCCAUAAAAUUAACGUAAACCC
RNAcentral lists this ribosomal RNA (555 nucleotides) under Trizodia acrobia. RNAcentral's name for it is "SSU rRNA". It matches the Rfam family "Bacterial small subunit ribosomal RNA", at positions 439 to 1105 of the family's 1533-position model. The record is from RNAcentral. Lineage: Eukaryota; Fungi; Ascomycota.